Molecule: long non-coding RNA, 5145 nt
Filed under: Citrus x clementina
Lineage: Eukaryota; Viridiplantae; Streptophyta; Magnoliopsida; Sapindales; Rutaceae
Description: Citrus clementina (C. clementina) long non-coding RNA (CCLE_LNC000502)
Source: RNAcentral
AUUACCAAAUUAACCGCUAACAAACAAAGCAAUCUUUCAGGGAGAGAAACUUUAGUCUCAGUAUGAUCACUGUGUCAUUAACCCACUUCCUGCUUCUUUGCUUGGUUGUUGUAGCAGCAGCAGCAGCAAGCAACAAUAUUACCACAGACCAACAAGCUCUUCUUGCCCUGAAAGAUCAUAUAAUUUAUGAUCCGACCAACCUUUUAGCCCAUAAUUGGACCUCGAAUACAUCUGUUUGUACCUGGAUUGGCAUCACUUGUGAUGUCAAUAGCCAUAGAGUCGCAGCCUUAGAUAUUUCUCAAUUCAAUCUACAAGGCACCAUCCCUCCUCAACUUGGAAACCUCUCUUCACUCACAACGCUUAAUCUUAGUCAUAACAAGCUUUCUGGAAACGUUCCCUCCUCCAUCUACACAAUGCAUACGCUAAAAUUUCUUGACUUCACUGAUAACCAGCUCUCUGGUUCGGUGUCUUCCUUCGUCUUCAACAUGUCUUCAAUAGUAGAAAUUCGUUUGACCAAUAACAGAUUUUCUGGUGAGCUUCCGAAAAAUAUUUGCAACUAUCUUCCUCAUUUGAAAGCCCUUUUUUUGGACAAAAACAUGUUUCAUAGCAAAAUUCCUUCUGCUUUAUCAAAGUGCAAACAACUGCAACAAUUAAAUUUGCAGUUCAAUAAUUUAUCCGGUGCAAUACCAAAAGAAAUCGGCAACUUGACUAUGCUCAAAGGGAUAUCUCUAUUAUGCAACAAACUCCACGGUAUGUUCAUAAUACUAUGUAAAUAUUUUAAUUUCUCACUUGUUAUUUUUCUUGAAUACUUUAGAUAAGAUCUUGUAACAGAGAUUUUUUUGCAUCUAUGUUAAUUUGCCAGGUGAGAUACCCCACGAAAUCGCUAAUCUUCGAAAUCUAGAGGGUUUAGUGCUUGGAAUGAACAACCUAGUUGGUGUGUUACCAGCUCCAAUCUUCAACAUGUCAACACUGAAGGUACUUAUCCUCAUGGAUAACUCUCUCAGUGGAAGUCUACCAUCAAGAAUAGACCUUUCACUUCCAACUGUUGAGUUUCUUGAGUUGGCACAUAAUAGAUUUUCUGGAACCAUUCCUAGUUCCAUCACCAAUGCUUCUAAGCUCACCGUUCUAGCGUUGGGAGAGAACACAUUUUCGGGCUUCAUUCCAAACACAAUUGGUAAUUUAAAAAACCUUGAGUGGCUCAGCUUGGAGAAUAAUUACUUGAAAUCUUCAACCUCAAAAUUGAGCUUUCUUUCCUCUUUGGCAAAUUGCAAGAAAUUAAGAUUCUUAAACUUAGGAGGCAAUCCACUCGACGGUAUCCUUCCAAGUUCAAUAGGUAAUCUUUCUAAGUCUUUGGAAACACUUGUCAUCGCCAAUUGCAGUAUUAGUGGCAACAUUCCGGAAGCAAUUAGCAAUUUAAGCAACUUGUUGACCUUAGUAUUAGAACGCAAUAAAUUGACUGGACCAAUUCCAAUUACAUUCGGCCCACUACAGAAACUCCAAGGCUUAUAUCUUGCAUUCAAUAUGUUGGUAGGUUCAUUCCCAGAUGAGCUUUGCCAUCUAGGUAGGCUGAAUGAAUUGGUCUUAUUUGGCAAUAAGCUUUCAGGAUCUAUACCUUCAUGCUUAAGUAACCUCACUUCUCUGAAAUCUCUCUACUUAGGGUCCAAUAGGUUUACUUCUGUUAUUCCCUCAACCUUCUGGAGCCUAAAAUACAUCUUGUUCUUUGACUUUUCAUCAAAUUUCUUGGUGGGUCCUCUUUCUUCAGACAUAGGUAAUUUGAAGGUGCUUCUAGGAAUAAAUUUAUCAGAAAAUAACUUAUCGGGUGAUAUGCCAGCCACAAUUGGAGGACUAAAAAACCUUCAAAUUAUGGACCUAGCAUAUAAUAGAUUGGAAGGCCCAAUUCCUGAAUCAUUUGGUGACUUGACAAGUUUGGAGGUUUUGAAUUUGUCAAAUAAUAAAAUCUCCGGGUCUAUUCCAAAAUCCUUGGGGAAACUCUUUUACCUCCGAGAGUUAAAUCUCUCUUUCAAUGAACUAGAAGGUGAGAUUCCUAGUGGAGGAAUUUUUGCCAACUUCACAGCUGAGUCAUUUAUGGGAAAUGAGUUAUUGUGUGGUUUACCAAAUCUUCAAGUCCAACCAUGCAAAGUUAGCAAGCCGAGGACAGAACAUAAAUCAAGGAAAAAGAUACUUCUCAUUGUGAUUGUUUUGCCAUUGAGUAUUGCUCUAACGAUAGCAAUCACUCUAGCUCUCCAAUCUAAGCUGAUCGAAUGUGGAAAAAGAAGCACGGUGUUAUCAAAUGAUAGUAUCUUGUCAUCACAAGCAACACUAAGAAGAUUUUCAUACUUAGAACUUUUACGAGCAACAGAUAAUUUUGCUGAAAACAGCAUAAUUGGCAGAGGAGGUUUUGGUUCCGUUUAUGGAGCAAGACUUGAAGAUGGGAUGAAGAUUGCAAUAAAAGUGUUUCACCAGCAAUGUGCAAGCGCAUUGAAGAGUUUUGAGGCUGAAUGUGAAGUGUUAAAAAAUAUUCGCCAUCGAAACCUUAUCAAAGUUAUCAGCAGUUGCUCGAACGAUGACUUCAAAGCAUUAGUCCUAGAAUACAUGUCCAACGGGAGCUUGGGGGAUUGGUUGCAUUCGAGCAAUUACGUGCUGAAUAUUUUUCGAAGGUUGAACAUAAUGAUUGACUUUGCAUCAGCUUUAGAAUAUCUCCACUUCGAUCAUUCAACUCCUGUUAUUCAUUGUGACUUAAAGCCUAGUAAUGUAUUGUUGGACGAAAAUAUGGUUGCUCAUUUGAGUGAUUUUGGCAUAGCAAAGCUUUUAAGUGGAGAAGAUGAGUCUACGAUGCGAACAAAAACCCUUGCCACUAUAGGUUAUAUGGCACCAGGUUUGCUUCAAACAACUUUUUUUGUUGGUGCAUGUACCCUCCCUUUAAAAAAUAUAUAAUAAUUAAUACUUAAUAUAUUAUUAAAUACGAAAAUAUCAAUAUUUGACUACACAAAUUUAUGUCAUUAGGUCCUUAAAAUUUAAAAUUGAAGACACAAAAUGAAAUAUAUAUAUAAAUUUCAUUCUCAUAGGAAAUGAUCCUCUUAUAAUCUUAAAAUAUUUGAGCUUUGAAAGAUUUUUUAAAACAAAUGUACUUUUAUUUUUGUACAAUCAAUAUUUACUUAUUUAUUAUAUUUUUAUUCAUUAACUAUCAAUCAUGUGAGUAUAUUUACUCAGAAAUAUCAUAUCAAGGAAGAAUCUUGAUCCCACGCACACGCAAAUAUGUUAAUUUCUAUACGCUUCACUUACCUGUAGAAUCAAUUAUCUAAAAUGCAAGUUUGUGGCCACAAAAAAGGCCAAAGAAAGAAGAUAAUAACAAUUGACUUGUAUAUUAUACUCAUACAAUCCACUCGACAUAAUGAUAUCAUUUUAAUAAGGCAAUGGCUGAUGAUCUCCAUGACUCCAUUGAAAAACUAAUUCAAUUUUUUUUGCUUCAUUUAACUUUUUGGUUGUUGAAAAUAACCUUAAUUAUCAAAUAAUUGGAGAAAGAGUAAAGAACAUUUAAAAAAUUUAUGAGCAAAAAAAAAAGGAGAAGUUGAAGAGAAAGGGUGCUUGCAGAAGUGGGUGUCAAAGAAAAAUCAGUCCAUAAGAAUUAUUGCGGUUAUUUUUUGGCAAUAUAAAUUUUUUAUAGCAAGUAAAAAUUAAUUUUUUUCCGAUUUACUAAAAAAUUAACUAAAAACUUCUGCGACAACAUUUUUUAUGGGUGCAUAUAGCCUCCCUUUAAAAAAAUAAUAAUAAUUAAUGCUUAAUAUAGUAUUAAAUACGAAAAUGUCAAUAUUUGAUUACUCAAAUUUAUAUCAUUAGGUCCUUAAAAUUUAAAAUUAAAGAUACGAAAGGAAAUAUAUAUAAAUUUCAUUCUCAUGGAAAGGAUUCUCUUAUAAUUUUAUAAUAUUUGAGUUUUGAAAUUUUUUUGAAACAAAUGUAAUUUUAUUUGUGUACAAUCAAUAUUUACUCAUUUAUUAUAUUUUAAUUUAUUUAUUAUAUUUAGUCGGAAAAAUUAUAUCAAGAGAGAAUCCUAAUUUCACGCAAACACAAAUACAAGACAAAUAUGUUAAUUUCUAUACUAUUCACUUUCCUGUAGAAUCAAUUAUCUAAAAUGCAAGUUUGUGGCUACAGAAAACUCGCCAAAGAAAGAAGAUAAUAACAAUUGAGCAUUGAUAGCAAAACUAAUGCAUCAUUUUCUUCUUGACUUGAUGAGAUGGCGCCAUCACAAAAAAACAAGUACCUUAAUUGACGGGCACUGAGUGAUGUGAAUACUACCAGCCAGUUCAUCUCUUCCAGUCUUGCUUAAUCACAAUCACAAACACCUCGAGAUCGACAUUUGCAUUAUAUAUAUGUUCAGCAAUCGAAACACCUUGCAUUACCAAAUAAACCAGUAACAAACAAAGCAAUCUUUCAUGGAGAGAAACUUUAGUCUCAGUAUGAUCACUGUGUCAUUAACCCACUGCCUGCUUCUUUGCUUGGUUGUUGCAGCAGCAGCAGCAGCAGCAGCAAGCAACAAUAUUACCACAGACCAACAAGCUCUUCUUGCCCUGAAAGAUCAUAUAAUUUAUGAUCCGACCAACCUUUUAGCCCAUAAUUGGACCUCGAAUACCUCUGUUUGUACCUGGAUUGGCAUCACUUGUGAUGUCAAUAGCCAUAGAGUCACAGCCUUAGAUAUUUCUCAAUUCAAUCUACAAGGCACCAUCCCUCCUCAACUUGGAAACCUCUCUUCACUCACAACACUUAAUCUUAGUCAUAACAAGCUUUCUGGAAGCGUUCCCUCCUCCAUCUACACCAUGCAUAGGCUAAAAUUUCUUGACUUCACUGAUAACCAGCUCUCUGGUUCGGUGUCUUCCUUCGUCUUCAACAUGUCUUCAAUAUUAGACAUUCGUUUGACCAAUAACAGACUUUCUGGUGAGCUUCCGAAAAAUAUUUGCAACUAUCUUCCUCAUUUGAAAGCCCUUUUUUUGGACAAAAACAUGUUUCAUAGCAAAAUUCCUUCUGCUUUAUCAAAGUGCAAACAACUGCAACAAUUAAAUUUGCAGUUCAAUAAUUUAUCCGGUGCAAUACCAAAAGAAAUCGGCAACUUGACUAGGCUCAAAGGGAUAUAUCUCGGCGCCAACAAACUCC